Non-coding RNA from Phthorimaea operculella (potato tuberworm), 71 nucleotides. The record is from the annotation of a GenBank genome assembly. NCBI's taxonomy places the organism in Eukaryota, Metazoa, Arthropoda, Insecta, Lepidoptera, Gelechiidae.
GGCGCAGUGGGUAGUACGGUACGACUGCCUGCGACGCAGAAGGUUUCCGGGUUCAAUUCCCGGCGGGGUCA